CAGCAGCCGCGGUAAAACCAGCAGCCCAAGUGGUGGUCGCGCUUAUUGGGCCUAAAGCGCUCGUAGCCUGGCCGGUAAGUUCCCCGUGAAAUCGGGUCGCCCAACGAUUCGGCUUGCGGGGAAUACUGUCGGUCUUGGGGCCGGGAGACGCCGAGGGUACUCCGGGGGUAGCGGUGAAAUGCUGUAAUCCUCGGGGGACUACCAGUGGCGAAGGCGCUCGGCGAUAACGGGCCUGACGGUGAGGGGCGAAAGCUGGGGGCGCGAACGGGAUUAGAUACCCCUGUAGUCCCUGUCUCUUAUA
RNAcentral lists this ribosomal RNA (301 nucleotides) under uncultured bacterium. RNAcentral's name for it is "partial 16S ribosomal RNA". It matches the Rfam family "Archaeal small subunit ribosomal RNA", at positions 459 to 759 of the family's 1478-position model. The record is from RNAcentral.